RNAcentral lists this transfer RNA (71 nucleotides) under Humutermes krishnai. Its description in RNAcentral is "tRNA-Ser". It matches the Rfam family "tRNA". Rfam says of the family: Transfer RNA (tRNA) molecules are approximately 80 nucleotides in length. Their secondary structure includes four short double-helical elements and three loops (D, anti-codon, and T loops). Further hydrogen bonds mediate the characteristic L-shaped molecular structure. tRNAs have two regions of fundamental functional importance: the anti-codon, which is responsible for specific mRNA codon recognition, and the 3' end, to which the tRNAs corresponding amino acid is attached (by aminoacyl-tRNA synthetases). tRNAs cope with the degeneracy of the genetic code in two manners: having more than one tRNA (with a specific anti-codon) for a particular amino acid; and 'wobble' base-pairing, i.e. permitting non-standard base-pairing at the 3rd anti-codon position. RNAcentral also lists the same sequence under 1 other name. Lineage: Eukaryota; Metazoa; Arthropoda; Insecta; Blattodea; Termitidae. The record is from RNAcentral.
AGUUAAAAAGCUACAGCUAAGCCUAAUGUCUUGAAAACAUUAUGAAAGAAGUUCAAUUCUUCUAUUAACUU